This 468-nucleotide ribosomal RNA is filed under the name uncultured bacterium. Its description in RNAcentral is "partial 16S ribosomal RNA". It matches the Rfam family "Bacterial small subunit ribosomal RNA", at positions 28 to 507 of the family's 1533-position model. The record is from RNAcentral.
GACGAACGCUGGCGGCGUGCUUAACACAUGCAAGUCGAACGGAAAGGCCCUGCUUUUGUGGGGUGCUCGAGUGGCGAACGGGUGAGUAACACGUGAGUAACCUGCCCUUGACUUUGGGAUAACUUCAGGAAACUGGGGCUAAUACCGGAUAGGAGCUCCUGCUGCAUGGUGGGGGUUGGAAAGUUUCGGCGGGUGGGGAUGGACUCGCGGCUUAUCAGCUUGUUGGUGGGGUAGUGGCUUACCAAGGCUUUGACGGGUAGCCGGCCUGAGAGGGUGACCGGCCACAUUGGGACUGAGGUACGGACCAGACUGCUACGGGAGGCAGCAGUGGGGAAUAUUGCACAAUAGGCGGAAGCCUGAUGCAGCAACGCCGCGUGCGGGAUGACGGCCUUCGGGUUGUAAACCGCUUUCGCCUGUGACGAAGCGUGAGUGACGGUAAUGGGUAAAGAAGCACCGGCUAACUACGUG